Molecule: long non-coding RNA, 465 nt
Organism: Erinaceus europaeus (western European hedgehog)
Lineage: Eukaryota; Metazoa; Chordata; Mammalia; Eulipotyphla; Erinaceidae
Exons: 2
Source: RefSeq, a predicted model, not a curated record
GAUUCAAUGUUGAUGCUGAGUGGGUCUCAGCAGCCUCCCAGCCCCCAGUUUCCUCACUGUCCUGAGGUCCAGAGCACUUGGGAGACCUCCAGGAGGCUAUGAUCUGGACUAUGUUGGAAACUGGUGAAUUGUCCUUUGUGAAGGAGAAAACUAGCACCGAGAUUUGUUUGUAUGUAGAAUUUUGAAGACUAUCUUCCCAUCGAAAGAGAACUCAGCACCCUAUAAAGUCAUGUGGCAGGAACAAGGGCAUUUCUCAACUGACCACAUUAGCAUCGCAAUCAGCUGACUCCUCUGCAAACAUCAGCCCAGAAGGGCUACCUGCAGGGAAGGCUGUGAAGUCUUCUCAAGACGUUUCCAUUUCCCUCAUCCCUCUUCUGCUCUUUGGCUCUCCUCCUCCUCCCCCUCCUCCUCUUUCUCCUUCAACUAUCUCCAGUCUGUGGAUUUAAUAAAGCCUUACAAGCCUUA